RNAcentral lists this ribosomal RNA (253 nucleotides) under uncultured bacterium. RNAcentral's name for it is "partial 16S ribosomal RNA". It matches the Rfam family "Bacterial small subunit ribosomal RNA", at positions 524 to 776 of the family's 1533-position model. The record is from RNAcentral.
UACGGGGGGGGCAAGCGUUGUUCGGAAUUACUGGGCGUAAAGGGCUCGUAGGUGGCCAACUAAGUCAGACGUGAAAUCCCUCGGCUUAACCGGGGAACUGCGUCUGACACUGGAUGGCUUGAGAUUGGGAGAGGGAUGCGGAAUUCCAGGUGUAGCGGUGAAAUGCGUAGAUAUCUGGAGGAACACCUGUGGCGAAAGCGGCGCACUGGACCAUUACUGACGCUGAUGCACGAAAGCGAGGGGAGCAAACAGG